CGUAGGGUGCGAGCGUUGUCCGGAAUUAUUGGGCGUAAAGAGCUUGUAGGCGGUUUGUCGCGUCUGCUGUGAAAUCCGGGCUCAACCCCGGACUUGCAGUGGGUACGGGCAGACUAGAGUGUGGUAGGGAGACUGGAAUUCCUGGUGUAGCGGUGAAAUGCGCAGAUAUCAGGAGGAACACCGAUGGCGAAGGCAGGUCUCUGGGCCAUUACUGACGCUGAGAAGCGAAAGCAUGGGAGCGAACAGGAUU
RNAcentral lists this ribosomal RNA (250 nucleotides) under uncultured bacterium. RNAcentral's name for it is "partial 16S ribosomal RNA". It matches the Rfam family "Bacterial small subunit ribosomal RNA", at positions 526 to 779 of the family's 1533-position model. The record is from RNAcentral.